CUUGGUGAGCCCUCAUCUCUAUAAUAACUCAAAAAAAUUACCAGGAACUUGGAAGCUAAGCAGGGUUGGGCACGGUUAGCACUUGGAUGGGAAAUCGCCUGGGAAUACCAUAGGCCAGGC
This 120-nucleotide ribosomal RNA is filed under the name Carlito syrichta (Philippine tarsier). Lineage: Eukaryota; Metazoa; Chordata; Mammalia; Primates; Tarsiidae. The record is from RNAcentral.